Molecule: non-coding RNA, 82 nt
Organism: Pseudophryne corroboree (corroboree frog)
Lineage: Eukaryota; Metazoa; Chordata; Amphibia; Anura; Myobatrachidae
Source: the annotation of a RefSeq genome assembly
GUAGUCGUGGCCGAGUGAUUAAGGCAAUGGACUAGAAAUCCAUUGGGGUUUCCCUGCGCAAGUUCAAAUCCUGCCGACUACG